ACAGAGGGUGCGAGCGUUAAUCGGAAUUACUGGGCGUAAAGCGUGCGUAGGUGGUUCGUUAAGUCUGAUGUGAAAGCCCUGGGCUCAACCUGGGAAUGGCAUUGGAAACUGGCGACCUAGAGUGCGGUAGAGGGUAGUGGAAUUCCCGGUGUAGCAGUGAAAUGCGUAGAUAUUGGGAGGAACAUCGGUGGCGAAGGCGGCUACCUGGACGGGUACUGACGCUGAGGCGCGAAAGCUAGGGGAGCAAACAGGA
RNAcentral lists this ribosomal RNA (253 nucleotides) under uncultured prokaryote. RNAcentral describes it as "partial 16S ribosomal RNA". It matches the Rfam family "Bacterial small subunit ribosomal RNA", at positions 525 to 777 of the family's 1533-position model. The record is from RNAcentral.